GUCGAGGGGCAGCGCGGGUAGCAAUACCUGGCGGCGACCGGCGCAAGGGUGCGUAACGCGUGAGCAAUCUGCCCGUGUCAGGGGGAUAAGCGAUGGAAACGUCGUCUAAUACCGCAUAACAACGGUCACGGCAUCAUGACCGUUUGAAAGAUACGUCGGACACGGAAGAGCUCGCGAGACAUUAGCUGGUUGGCGGGGUAACGGCCCACCAAGGCUGCGAUGUCUAGGGGAACUGAGAGGUUGGUCCCCCACACUGGAACUGAGACACGGUCCAGACUCCUACGGGAGGCAGCAGUGAGGAAUAUUGGACAAUGGUCGGAAGACUGAUCCAGCCAUGCCGCGUGGAGGUUAAGGUCCUAUGGAUUGUAAACUCCUUUUGAGAGGGAGCAAUAAGUGUCACGCGUGACACGAUGAGAGUACCUUUCGAAUAAGCAUCGGCUAACUCCGUGCCAGCAGCCGCGGUAAUACGGAGGAUGCGAGCGUUAUCCGGAUUUAUUGGGUUUAAAGGGUGCGUAGGCGGUUUUGCAAGUCAGCGGUGAAACGCACGGGCUUAACCUGUGACCUGCCGUUGAAACUGCGGGACUGGAAUGCGGAUGCUGUGGGAGGAAUGUGUGGUGUAGCGGUGAAAUGCAUAGAUAUCACACAGAACACCGAUUGCGAAGGCAUCUCACAAAUCCGUGAUUGACGCUGAGGCACGAAAGUGUGGGGAUCAAAC
RNAcentral lists this ribosomal RNA (715 nucleotides) under uncultured bacterium. RNAcentral describes it as "bacterial SSU rRNA". It matches the Rfam family "Bacterial small subunit ribosomal RNA", at positions 61 to 773 of the family's 1533-position model. The record is from RNAcentral.